AAAGCUCAUGCAGGCCAGUGCAGGAGGGAGCACAGCUGUUUAAGUAUCAUUCAAUCCAGCAUGGGCUGGAGUUGGGCAAAGCACAGUAAGAACAAACAGCAGCAUAUGCAGCUCAGAGAUUUCAGCCUUCAUGUAGAAUUUCACGCUUUUAUUCUGCAGCAUCUGAAACAAGGAAGAGGAAUUACCCCAGCCCAAAAUAGCUUUUCUCAUCAAUGUUCUAUCCCUGAUUAAUUCAACAGUUACACAUUCCUUCCCUUCCAGAAACCCCGGCAGAUAGCUGGGCCACUGGCCAGCUUUGCCCACUAGGGUUCUCUGAGUAUCACCCCACCUCUCCAAGUGGGUCCUGUGGAUCAGAGAGCUAGCAUCUCCUACAGCUGAUGGAGGAACGGCCACACUGCCUUCUGGGCCCCCAGUCUGUGCUCAGCACAUAAG
Molecule: long non-coding RNA, 432 nt
Organism: Gopherus flavomarginatus (Mexican gopher tortoise)
Lineage: Eukaryota; Metazoa; Chordata; Testudines; Testudinidae
Exons: 2
Source: RefSeq, a predicted model, not a curated record